CAUCCCUAGUUCGGAUUGUAGGCUGCAACUCGCCUACAUGAAGCUGGAAUUGCUAGUAAUCACAGGUCAGCAUACUGUGGUGAAUACGUUCCCGGGCCUUGUACACACCGCCCGUCACACCAUGAGAGUUGAGAAUACCCGAAGUCCAUGUCAAAGUGGCCGAAGGUAGGCUUGAUGAUUGGGGUGAAGUCGUAACAAGGUAUC
Molecule: ribosomal RNA, 204 nt
Filed under: uncultured bacterium
Lineage: Bacteria
Description: partial 16S ribosomal RNA
Rfam family: Bacterial small subunit ribosomal RNA
Source: RNAcentral